GAUGAACGCUGGCGGCGUGCCUAAUACAUGCAAGUCGAGCGAACGGACGAGAAGCUUGCUUUUCUGAUGUUAUCGGCGGACGGGUGAGUAACACGUGGAUAACCUACCUAUAAGACUGGGAUAACUUCGGGAAACCGGAGCUAAUACCGGAUAAUAUUUUGAACCGCAUUGUUCAAAAGUGAAAGACGGUCUUGCUGUCACUUAUAGAUGGAUCCGCGCUGCAUUAGCUAGUUGGUAAGGUAACGGCUUACCAAGGCAACGAUGCAUAGCCGACCUGAGAGGGUGAUCGGCUACACUGGAACUGAGACACGGUCCAGACUCCUACGGGAGGAAGCAGUAGGGAAUCUUACGCAAUGGGCGAAAGCCUGACGGAGCAAAGCCGCGUGAGUGAUGAAGGUCUUAGGAUCGUAAAACUCUGUUAUUAGGGAAGAACAUAUGUGUAAGUACCUGUGCACAUCUUGACGGUACCUAAUCAGAAAGCCACGGCUAACUACGUG
RNAcentral lists this ribosomal RNA (497 nucleotides) under uncultured bacterium. RNAcentral describes it as "partial 16S ribosomal RNA". It matches the Rfam family "Bacterial small subunit ribosomal RNA", at positions 28 to 507 of the family's 1533-position model. The record is from RNAcentral.